RNAcentral lists this ribosomal RNA (409 nucleotides) under uncultured eukaryote. Its description in RNAcentral is "eukaryotic LSU rRNA". It matches the Rfam family "Eukaryotic large subunit ribosomal RNA", at positions 990 to 1391 of the family's 3401-position model. The record is from RNAcentral.
GAGAAAGUAGUUUUAUCAGGUAAAGCGAAUGAUUAGAGGCUUUGGGGAAGAAACUUCCUCGACCUAUUCUCAAACUUUAAAAUAGGUAAGAUUUUGAAGGAUACUUAAGUGAUCUUUCAAUCUCUUGAAUAUAAAGUUCUUAGUGGGCCAUUUUUGGUAAGCAGAACUGGCGAUGUGGGAUGAACCGAACGUUAAGUUAAAGUGCCAAAUAAUACGCUCAUGAGAUACCAUAAAAGGUGUUGGUUCAUUUUGACAGCAGGACGGUGGCCAUGGAAGUCGGAACCCGCUAAGGAGUGUGUAACAACUCACCUGCCGAAUGAACUAGCCCUGAAAAUGGAUGGCGCUUAAGCGUAUAACUUAUACUUAACCCUUACUUGAAUUAUAAUAGCGAGUAAGGAGUAGGAGGGCG